AUGAAGUGCUUGCACUUCUGACGUUAGCGGCGAACGGGUGAGUAACACGUAAGGAAUCUACCUAUAAGCGGGGGAUAACAUUCGGAAACGGGUGCUAAUACCGCAUAAUAUCUUCUUCCGCAUGGAAGAAGAUUGAAAGACGGCUCUGCUGUCACUUAUAGAUGACCUUGCGGUGCAUUAGUUAGUUGGUGGGGUAACGGCCUACCAAGACGAUGAUGCAUAGCCGACCUGAGAGGGUGAUCGGCC
RNAcentral lists this ribosomal RNA (246 nucleotides) under Aerococcus sp. Its description in RNAcentral is "partial 16S ribosomal RNA". It matches the Rfam family "Bacterial small subunit ribosomal RNA", at positions 71 to 309 of the family's 1533-position model. Lineage: Bacteria; Bacillati; Bacillota; Bacilli; Lactobacillales; Aerococcaceae. The record is from RNAcentral.